RNAcentral lists this transfer RNA (89 nucleotides) under Kitasatospora griseola. Its description in RNAcentral is "tRNA-Gly". Lineage: Bacteria; Bacillati; Actinomycetota; Actinomycetes; Kitasatosporales; Streptomycetaceae. The record is from RNAcentral.
GGAGAGGUUCCCGUAGCGGCCCAACGGGGGUCGGGCCAGGGCCCGACCGGGGUGCAAGCCCUCGCAGGUUCGAAUCCUGCCCUCUCCGC